UAGGGGAUAUUGGUGAAUGGGCGAAAGCCCGAACCAGCAACGCCGCGUGUGCGAAGAAGGCCUUCGGGUCGUAAAGCACUUUUACUCGGGAAGAGGAAGGACGGUACCGGGGGAAGAAGCCUCGGCUAACUACGUGCCAGCAGCCGCGGUAAAACGUAGGAGGCGAGCGUUAUUCGGAUUUACUGGGCGUAAAGCGCGUGUAGGUGGUUCUGUAAGUAGGGCGUGAAAGCUCCUGGCUCAACUGGGAGAGGCCGUUCUAAACUGCAGAGCUAGAGGAUGGUAGAGGGAGGUGGAAUCCCGGGUGUAGCGGUGGAAUGCGCAGAUAUCCGGAGGAACACCAGUGGCGAAAGCGGCCUCCUGGACCAUUCCUGACACUCAGACGCGAAAGCUAGGGUAGCAAACG
RNAcentral lists this ribosomal RNA (403 nucleotides) under uncultured prokaryote. RNAcentral describes it as "bacterial SSU rRNA". It matches the Rfam family "Bacterial small subunit ribosomal RNA", at positions 355 to 774 of the family's 1533-position model. The record is from RNAcentral.